UUCAUGGACUACCCAGGCUUACAGCUUACCAAUUGAGAACUGUAUAUAUAUGUCAGUUUUUGACAAGAAUUGCAGCAGGAAAAUCUCUCGAUGCACAGUUUGAAAGUGAUGAGCGUAUUACACCCUUGGAAUCAGCCCUGAUGAUUUGGGAUUCAAUUGAAAAGGAGUGUAACAAACUUCAUGAAGAAAUACAGAAUUUAAUUAAAAUUCAGGCUGUGGCUGUUUGUAUGGAGAGUGGCAGCUUUAAGGAAGCAGAAGAAGUGUUUGAAAGAAUAUUUGGUGAUCCAGAAUCU
Molecule: long non-coding RNA, 293 nt
Organism: Onychomys torridus (southern grasshopper mouse)
Lineage: Eukaryota; Metazoa; Chordata; Mammalia; Rodentia; Cricetidae
Exons: 3
Source: RefSeq, a predicted model, not a curated record